RNAcentral lists this ribosomal RNA (465 nucleotides) under Vreelandella stevensii. RNAcentral's name for it is "partial 16S ribosomal RNA". It matches the Rfam family "Bacterial small subunit ribosomal RNA", at positions 338 to 795 of the family's 1533-position model. The record is from RNAcentral. Lineage: Bacteria; Pseudomonadati; Pseudomonadota; Gammaproteobacteria; Oceanospirillales; Halomonadaceae.
CCUACGGAGGGCUGCAGUGGGGAAUAUUGGACAAUGGGGGCAACCCUAAUCCAGCCAUGCCGCGUGUGUGAAGAAGGCCCUCGGGUUGUAAAGCACUUUCAGUGAGGAAGAACGCCUGGUGGUUAAUACCCAUCAGGAAAGACAUCACUCACAGAAGAAGCACCGGCUAACUCCGUGCCAGCAGCCGCGGUAAUACGGAGGGUGCGAGCGUUAAUCGGAAUUACUGGGCGUAAAGCGCGCGUAGGUGGCUUGAUAAGCCGGUUGUGAAAGCCCCGGGCUCAACCUGGGAACGGCAUCCGGAACUGUCAAGCUAGAGUGCAGGAGAGGAAGGUAGAAUUCCCGGUGUAGCGGUGAAAUGCGUAGAGAUCGGGAGGAAUACCAGUGGCGAAGGCGGCCUUCUGGACUGACACUGACACUGAGGUGCGAAAGCGUGGGUAGCAAACAGGAUUAGAUACCCCAGUAGUC